GCCAGAGGUGCCGAGCGUUAGGCGGAAUCACUGGGCUUAAAGCGUGUGUAGGCGGGCGGGCAAGUACCUUGUGAAAUCCCACGGCUCAACCGUGGAACGGCUGGGUAUACUGCCUGUCUUGAGCCAACUAGGGGCGAGCGGAACAGACGGUGGAGCGGUGAAAUGCGUAGAUAUCGUCUGGAACGCCAAAGGUGAAAACAGCUCGCUGGGGUUGUGCUGACGCUGAGACACGAAAGCCAGGGGAGCAAACGGG
RNAcentral lists this ribosomal RNA (253 nucleotides) under uncultured bacterium. Its description in RNAcentral is "partial 16S ribosomal RNA". It matches the Rfam family "Bacterial small subunit ribosomal RNA", at positions 524 to 776 of the family's 1533-position model. The record is from RNAcentral.